UUACGGCCAUAACAAUUUGAAACAUCGAUUUCCAUAGAAUCACUGAAGUUAAGCAACAUUGAGCCUGGUCAGUACCUAGAUGGAUAACUGCUUGGGAAUACUAGGUGCUGUAA
Non-coding RNA from Acanthosepion pharaonis, 113 nucleotides. Lineage: Eukaryota; Metazoa; Mollusca; Cephalopoda; Sepiida; Sepiidae. The record is from the annotation of a GenBank genome assembly.